This 492-nucleotide ribosomal RNA is filed under the name uncultured bacterium. RNAcentral's name for it is "partial 16S ribosomal RNA". It matches the Rfam family "Bacterial small subunit ribosomal RNA", at positions 30 to 507 of the family's 1533-position model. The record is from RNAcentral.
AUUGAACGCUGGCGGCAUGCUUUACACAUGCAAGUCGAACGGUAACAGGCCUUCGGGUGCUGACGAGUGGCGAAUGGGUGAGUAAUGCAUCGGAACGUACCCAGAGGUGGGGGAUAACGCAGCGAAAGCUGUGCUAAUACCGCAUGUGAUCUGAGGAUGAAAGCGGGGGACCGAGCAGCAAUGUUUGGCCUCGCGCCUUUGGAGCGGCCGAUGUCGGAUUAGCUAGUUGGUGGGGUAAAGGCCUACCAAGGUGACGAUCCGUAGCUGGUCUGAGAGGACGACCAGCCACACUGGGGCUGAGACACGGCCCAGACUCCUACGGGAGGCAGCAGUGGGGAAUUUUGGACAAUGGGCGCAAGCCUGAUCCAGCAAUGCCGCGUGCGGGAAGAAGGCCUUCGGGUUGUAAACCGCUUUUGGCAGGAACGAAACGGUGUCCGCUAAUACCGGGCGCUAAUGACGGUACCUGCAGAAUAAGCACCGGCUAACUACGUG